RNAcentral lists this ribosomal RNA (374 nucleotides) under uncultured bacterium. RNAcentral's name for it is "bacterial SSU rRNA". It matches the Rfam family "Bacterial small subunit ribosomal RNA", at positions 523 to 898 of the family's 1533-position model. The record is from RNAcentral.
AUACGUAGGGGGCGAGCGUUAUCCGGAAUUACUGGGCGUAAAGAGUGCGUAGGUGGCUGCUUAAGCGUGAGGUGAAAGGCAAUGGCUUAACCAUUGUGAGCCUCGCGAACUGGGUGGCUUGAGUGCAGGAGAGGAAAGCGGAAUUCCUAGUGUAGCGGUGAAAUGCGUAGAUAUUAGGAGGAACACCAGUGGCGAAGGCGGCUUUCUGGACUGCAACUGACACUGAGGCACGAAAGCGUGGGGAGCAAACAGGAUUAGAUACCCUGGUAGUCCACGCCGUAAACGAUGAGCACUAGGUGUCGGGGUCGCAAGACUUCGGUGCCGCAGUUAACGCAUUAAGUGCUCCGCCUGGGGAGUACGCACGCAAGUGUGAA